UACGUAGGGCGCAAGCGUUGUCCGGAAUUAUUGGGCGUAAAGAGCUCGUAGGCGGUUUGUCGCGUCUGCUGUGAAAACUCGAGGCUCAACCUCGGGCUUGCAGUGGGUACGGGCAGACUAGAGUGUGGUAGGGGAGACUGGAAUUCCUGGUGUAGCGGUGGAAUGCGCAGAUAUCAGGAGGAACACCGAUGGCGAAGGCAGGUCUCUGGGCCAUUACUGACACUGAGAAGCGAAAGCAUGGGGAGCGAACAGG
This 253-nucleotide ribosomal RNA is filed under the name uncultured bacterium. RNAcentral's name for it is "partial 16S ribosomal RNA". It matches the Rfam family "Bacterial small subunit ribosomal RNA", at positions 524 to 776 of the family's 1533-position model. The record is from RNAcentral.